Molecule: long non-coding RNA, 530 nt
Organism: Tribolium madens (black flour beetle)
Lineage: Eukaryota; Metazoa; Arthropoda; Insecta; Coleoptera; Tenebrionidae
Exons: 3
Source: RefSeq, a predicted model, not a curated record
GAAUUGAAGAUUCUCUAUCGCCAUUUUGUUUUUACUUUACUUUGUGGUGUGUCCUCGAUUUGCGUUGUGUUUCGUUUUGUGUCGCUUCCAACUUGUUUUGUGUGCGUGUAUAUUUUUCUGAACGUUUUUAUUGUGAGAUUAAUAUAAAAUUUAGUGUUUAGGUACGUAUAAAUUGUAAACACAAGGAACAAAGGUGCAAUGUGUUUGAUUUCAGGGGUUUGAACAAUUUUUAGUGUUUAAGUUUAGGUAUUAGUGUUUUGUUGAUACAUUGAGUUAUAAGAGGACGUGAUGAGUUUGAGCCGAAAUCCCUCUUCUGUGCCAGGGUGCCACAAUAGAGAAAGGCCUUUUUUCCACUUUCCAAACCCCGAAGAGGCCAGGGCAUGUCUCGGAAGUGGAAAUAUGCCGCGAAUACCCAAAUUUUAAGGACCAUUUUUACAAGCAUCUGCACAGAAUUGGUUUUGUUUGCCACAAACAUUUUAAGAUGGGAGGAUUUUAAAGAGGGUACGCAUCGAGUAAAACCUACAGCGGUA